GCCAGGCGCAGUGGCGCAUACCUGUAGUCCCAGCUACUCAGGAGGCUGAGGUGGGUGGAUGGCUUGAGCCCAGGAAUUCUGGGCUGUAAUGCGCUAUGCCAAUCGCGUGUCUGCACUAAGUUCAACAUGAAUAUGGUGACCUCCUGGGAGCAGGGGACCACCAGGUUGCCUAAGGAGGGGUGAACCAGCCCAGGUCAGAAAUGGAGCAGGUCAAAACUCCUGUGCUGAUCAGUAGUGAGAUCAUGCCUGUGAAUAGCCAUUGCACUUCAGCCUGGGCAACAUGGCAAAACCCCAUCUCUA
Molecule: unclassified non-coding RNA, 300 nt
Organism: Callithrix jacchus (white-tufted-ear marmoset)
Lineage: Eukaryota; Metazoa; Chordata; Mammalia; Primates; Cebidae
Rfam family: Metazoan signal recognition particle RNA
About the family: The signal recognition particle (SRP) is a universally conserved ribonucleoprotein. It is involved in the co-translational targeting of proteins to membranes. The eukaryotic SRP consists of a 300-nucleotide 7S RNA and six proteins: SRPs 72, 68, 54, 19, 14, and 9.
Source: Ensembl